AUGAACGCUGGCGGCGUGCCUAAUACAUGCAAGUCGAGCGAACGGACGAGAAGCUUGCUUCUCUGAUGUUAGCGGCGGACGGGUGAGUAACACGUGGAUAACCUACCUAUAAGACUGGGAUAACUUCGGGAAACCGGGGCUAAUACCGGAUAAUAUUUUGAACCGCAUGGUUCAAAAGUGAAAGACGGUCUUGCUGUCACUUAUAGAUGGAUCCGCGCUGCAUUAGCUAGUUGGUAAGGUAACGGCUUACCAAGGCAACGAUGCAUAGCCGACCUGAGAGGGUGAUCGGCCACACUGGAACUGAGACACGGUCCAGACUCCUACGGGAGGCAGCAGUAGGGAAUCUUCCGCAAUGGGCGAAAGCCUGACGGAGCAACGCCGCGUGAGUGAUGAAGGUCUUCGGAUCGUAAAACUCUGUUAUUAGGGAAGAGCAUAUGUGUAAGUAACUGUGCACAUCUUGACGGUACCUAAUCAGAAAGCCACGGCUAACUACGUG
Molecule: ribosomal RNA, 496 nt
Filed under: uncultured bacterium
Lineage: Bacteria
Description: partial 16S ribosomal RNA
Rfam family: Bacterial small subunit ribosomal RNA
Source: RNAcentral